Molecule: long non-coding RNA, 1455 nt
Organism: Portunus trituberculatus (swimming crab)
Lineage: Eukaryota; Metazoa; Arthropoda; Malacostraca; Decapoda; Portunidae
Exons: 2
Source: RefSeq, a predicted model, not a curated record
AAAUCUAAAAAUUUACAGAUACAUCAGUACCCUGGUGUGGGUGCCCAGACUUACGCCCUCCACUUACUCCACCACCCUCGUCGUCUCAGCCCAGGAACCUGCUUUCUCUGAGGUUAUAUGCAUCAAGCAGGGAGGUGUAAGCUCUGACAACUUGGCUGAGGCAAGGAAACACUGAUGAUACGAGUUACUGAGUUCCACAAUCAUUUCAUCUUCAAGUUGGGUGAAUAAUGACCAGGAGAUCUUGUUAGUGUCUCAAAUAAAAAAAAUAAAAAAUUCCAGACUUCUGAUAUGACUGAUCCACUAUUAUUCAGUUUUGUGAUUAACAAGCAUAAUCAUCACAAUUCUGAACUGGCUUGCUUUCUUGCCUACAUGGCGAUUAACUACUUGUUUCUGGCUACUUAUGUCCUUCCAAACCUAGUCAGUAAAUUUCAACUUAUAAAAAACCUGUCUACCUGUCAAUUAAAAAAAAUAAAUAAAUAAAAAAUCUUGAUGCUACACUACAGACACAAUAUUCUGUAUUAUCUAAACUAGUCUUCUGAUUUUUAAACAAGUAUAAAUCUGACAUUACAUCAUGUGUCUCUCUGAAAUAAUGUGGCACAUAAGUCUGUCAUUGAUGUGUUAGUGUUACUCAAGUCUCUUCACAAACUAUACAUAUGAAGCAUCCGACAUUAGAAGGGCACACACACACCGCAAAAACUGAGAUAACUGUGUACAAGUACUGUUUUAAGAUCUUAUUAACUUUUGCCUGGGAGCAGAUUGAAAAUUCAUACAAAUGAAUACUUUUUGUUUAGCUGACCAUCAAUGUAGAUGCAACAUGCAACUGAGGAAUAAUUUUUGUUUUACAAGAGCUACACAUCCAGGAAUUCAGAUUUUUUUUUUAUUUUGUGUGUAUUAGUAACUGAAAGACAAGUCACUGUUCAGUUUCUUCACUACUUUUCUACUUAAAAUAUUUGUGUUUAUCUUAAAAUAUUCACAAAUUAUCAUUAUUAUAGUGUGUCUGAAAUUCAGAGAAGAAAUGCACUCAAACUACUGUCAACUUCCAAAACCAUAAUACAAUUUGUAAAAGAUGUGGAAAAAUUUGUAGUGAAUAAUCAUCUCAACAGUUUUGAGGUAAUCAUGAUUGUCUAAGCAAAUACUAUAAUAAGUUAUGGUUGUUAGAAGUUUGCUAAACUUUGAGUGCACUUUCUCACUUUGUUUUGGACCAUUCAUCCUAAAAUAACAUAAGUUGAUUCAUAUCUGCUGAAAAACCAUAUCUACUUUUUAUGCAAUUCUUCAAAUGUAUACCUAUAAUACACACACACACACACACACACAUAUAUAUAUAUAUAUAACCAAUUAUAUCAUUCUAUAAGAUUUGCUUUAUAGAGUGCUAAGUUCCAUUUGUAAAACUAUGGGAAUAGUAAAUAAGAUUUUGUUGAAUAAUUUACCAUAAAUAAAGCCAUGACUCACAUACAA